RNAcentral lists this ribosomal RNA (253 nucleotides) under uncultured bacterium. RNAcentral's name for it is "partial 16S ribosomal RNA". It matches the Rfam family "Bacterial small subunit ribosomal RNA", at positions 524 to 776 of the family's 1533-position model. The record is from RNAcentral.
UACGGAGGAGGCAAGCGUUAUCCGGAAUUAUUGGGCGUAAAGCGUCCGCAGGUGGCUAUUCAAGUCUGCGGUCAAAGACUGGGGCUUAACCCUGGAAAGGCCGUGGAAACUGAAGAGCUAGAGUGCAGUAGGGGUAGAGGGAAUUCCCGGUGUAGCGGUGAAAUGCGUAGAGCUCGGGAAGAACAUCGGUGGCGAAAGCGCUCUGCUGGACUGCAACUGACACUCAGGGACGAAAGCUAGGGGAGCAAAUGGG